AGCAGCCGCGGUAAUUCCAGCUCCAAUAGCGUAUAUUAAAGUUGUUGCAGUUAAAAAGCUCGUAGUUGAAUUUCGGGGUUAGUAGGUUGGUCAUGCCUCUGGUAUGUACUGGUCUCACUGAUUCCUCCUUCCUGAUGAGCCGUAAUGCCAUUAAUUUGGUGUUGCGGGGAAUUUGGACUGUUACUUUGAAAAAAUUAGAGUGUUUAAAGCAAGCUAACGCUUGAAUACAUUAGCAUGGAAUAAUGAAAUAGGACGUUCGAUCCUAUUUUGUUGGUUUCUAGGAUUGACGUAAUGAUUAAUAGGGAUAGUUGGGGGCAUUAGUAUUCAAUUGUCAGAGGUGAAAUUCUUGGAUUUAUUGAAGACUAACUACUGCGAAAGCAUUUGCCAAGGAUGUUUUCAUUAAUCAAGAACGAAAGUUAGGGGAUCGAAGACGAUCAGAUACCGUCGUAGUCUUAACCAUAAACUAUGCCGACUAGGGAUCGGAUGAUGUUAAUUUUUAAUGACUCAUUCGGCNCGUUUA
Molecule: ribosomal RNA, 520 nt
Filed under: uncultured Glomus
Lineage: Eukaryota; Fungi; Glomeromycota; Glomeromycetes; Glomerales; Glomeraceae
Description: SSU rRNA
Rfam family: Eukaryotic small subunit ribosomal RNA
Source: RNAcentral